This 253-nucleotide ribosomal RNA is filed under the name uncultured bacterium. RNAcentral's name for it is "partial 16S ribosomal RNA". It matches the Rfam family "Bacterial small subunit ribosomal RNA", at positions 524 to 776 of the family's 1533-position model. The record is from RNAcentral.
UACGAAGGGUGCAAACGUUGCUCGGAAUUAUUGGGCGUAAAGCGCACGUAGGCGGCUCCACAAGUCGGAUGUGAAAUCCCUCGGCUCAACCAAGGAAGUGCACCCGAAACUGCGGAGCUUGAAUAUGGAAGAGGGUCGCGGAAUUCCCGGUGUAGAGGUGAAAUUCGUAGAUAUCGGGAGGAACACCAGUGGCGAAGGCGGCGACCUGGGCCAAUAUUGACGCUGAGGUGCGAAAGCGUGGGGAGCAAACAGG